UGGAUGCCCAAUCUUGUCUGAUCUUGGAAGCUAAGCA
RNAcentral lists this ribosomal RNA (37 nucleotides) under Mus spicilegus (steppe mouse). Lineage: Eukaryota; Metazoa; Chordata; Mammalia; Rodentia; Muridae. The record is from RNAcentral.